RNAcentral lists this transfer RNA (65 nucleotides) under Panstrongylus rufotuberculatus. RNAcentral's name for it is "tRNA-Tyr". Lineage: Eukaryota; Metazoa; Arthropoda; Insecta; Hemiptera; Reduviidae. The record is from RNAcentral.
GAUAAGGUGGCUGAAUUAAUAGGCGGUAAAUUGUAAAUUUAUUCAUGGUUGAUGACCUCUUAUCA